Misgurnus anguillicaudatus (oriental weatherfish) is the source of this 818-nucleotide non-coding RNA. The record is from RefSeq and is a predicted model, not a curated record. NCBI's taxonomy places the organism in Eukaryota, Metazoa, Chordata, Actinopteri, Cypriniformes, Cobitidae.
AGAUUUUAUAUUUAAGAAAAUCUGAGCAUCAUUCAAAAUAACUGUUAACAUGUUUGUCCACUAAACAUGUUUUGUCAAUGUUUUAAACUUUAUAGAAAUAUUUUUUAUUUUUUAUUAAUGACCAAGUAUAAAGAACAAUGCAUAGUGUGAAAACGCGGAUUAUAUAAAAGUAUAUAAUAAAGUGCGAGCAGAGGAUCAAUCAAACUUGGGCUGGAAUGAUUGUAGUGCAUCAAAUUGAUCUUGGAAAUCGUAGUUUACAUCUACAGCAGCAUAUGCUACAGCAGUGACAACGCCAAAGAAAAGGACUACAUUUCCCAGAAUGCACCUGCACCCACUCAUCUGCCCCUUCAGGUGCGACCGCUUCACCUAUGGGCUUGACGGGAAAAUUCAAAAUCGCGAACCGUUACAGCCUGGACGGUGUCUUUGUUUGCUUGCACAUCAACAGUAAGAGGUCAUGUACACUGUGGUCAACUUUGUGGACGCUGAAGAGGUUUCUGGGUAAAGAUGAUAGAAAUAUAAUGAAGUAACAGUGGAAGCUAAAACAUCAGACUGAUCCAGACACUGAAGAAAUUGAUGUCACUGCAAUCUGGCCAAAAUGAUACAACUAUAUUGAAGUAGCCUACUGUAAUAAAGCUGCAGAACGUCACAGGGACUCUGAGGACAUCAACACAGAAAAUCAAGGGUCCAAAGAGAUGUCUGUCCAGAUGAGGGUGCAUCAACGUUACCUUUGCUGACAAGUAUAUGCUUUUAGCAGUUAACUUAACUCAAACCAUUUAAGGAAAUCGGUUGCCUUAAACCAGUGGUUCUCAAACUUUUUC